RNAcentral lists this ribosomal RNA (465 nucleotides) under uncultured Klebsiella sp. RNAcentral's name for it is "bacterial SSU rRNA". It matches the Rfam family "Bacterial small subunit ribosomal RNA", at positions 338 to 795 of the family's 1533-position model. The record is from RNAcentral. Lineage: Bacteria; Pseudomonadati; Pseudomonadota; Gammaproteobacteria; Enterobacterales; Enterobacteriaceae.
CCUACGGGAGGCAGCAGUGGGGAAUAUUGCACAAUGGGCGCAAGCCUGAUGCAGCCAUGCCGCGUGUGUGAAGAAGGCCUUCGGGUUGUAAAGCACUUUCAGCGGGGAGGAAGGCGGUGAGGUUAAUAACCUCAUCGAUUGAAGGUACCCGCAGAAGAAGCACCGGCUAACUCCGUGCCAGCAGCCGCGGUAAUACGGAGGGUGCAAGCGUUAAUCGGAAUUACUGGGCGUAAAGCGCACGCAGGCGGUCUGUCAAGUCGGAUGUGAAAUCCCCGGGCUCAACCUGGGAACUGCAUUCGAAACUGGCAGGCUAGAGUCUUGUAGAGGGGGGUAGAAUUCCAGGUGUAGCGGUGAAAUGCGUAGAGAUCUGGAGGAAGACCGGUGGCGAAGGCGGCCCCCUGGACAAAGACUGACGCUCAGGUGCGAAAGCGUGGGGAGCAAACAGGAUUAGAUACCCUAGUAGUC